UUGACAUCCCUGGAGACUGAAAUUCUCUAUUUAUCUACAGAUCAAGUACAACAAUGACAGCAGCGGUGAAAGAAUUCCUAGGCUAACCCCUAGUUGUCUCAGCCUUGACAGAGUGGCUAACUUCAGGUAUGAGAGGAUAGUUCAAUCAAUGCUCUUGCAAUAUUUGGCCUCU
Molecule: small RNA, 172 nt
Filed under: Chelonoidis abingdonii (Abingdon island giant tortoise)
Lineage: Eukaryota; Metazoa; Chordata; Testudines; Testudinidae
Description: TUC338 (ENSCABG00000003481.1)
Source: RNAcentral